RNAcentral lists this long non-coding RNA (243 nucleotides) under Elaeis guineensis (African oil palm). RNAcentral describes it as "long non-coding RNA (EGUI_LNC059439)". Lineage: Eukaryota; Viridiplantae; Streptophyta; Magnoliopsida; Arecales; Arecaceae. The record is from RNAcentral.
AAUUUACUAUUAAUUCACUAACACUUGAUGAAUUAAUUUAUUGUAACUUUUGCAUAAGGUUAACCAUUAAUCGAAUUGACGAUUAAGCCCUGGAAUGAUUCUCAAUCGUUAAUCAACCACAUGAUCAGUGAGAAACAUCUUUUGAGUAUGACCCCAUAGGUUUGAACCUAAGCUGGUAGCACUAAAAUAUCUUCUUGAACCAAUCAAUGUAACCAUGUAGCAAUGGUAACCCGACGUCCAGAU